RNAcentral lists this transfer RNA (74 nucleotides) under Ensifer adhaerens. RNAcentral describes it as "tRNA_Arg_TCT". It matches the Rfam family "tRNA". Rfam says of the family: Transfer RNA (tRNA) molecules are approximately 80 nucleotides in length. Lineage: Bacteria; Pseudomonadati; Pseudomonadota; Alphaproteobacteria; Hyphomicrobiales; Rhizobiaceae. The record is from RNAcentral.
GCGUCAGUAGUUCAAUGGCAUAACACCCGGCUUCUACCCGGGGGAUGCGGGUUCGAAACCCGUCUGGCGCUCCA